RNAcentral lists this ribosomal RNA (253 nucleotides) under uncultured prokaryote. RNAcentral's name for it is "partial 16S ribosomal RNA". It matches the Rfam family "Bacterial small subunit ribosomal RNA", at positions 525 to 777 of the family's 1533-position model. The record is from RNAcentral.
ACGGAGGGUGCGAGCGUUGUUCGGAAUCACUGGGCGUAAAGGGCGUGUAGGCGGUCCGUUAAGUCUGAUGUGAAAGCCCGGGGCUCACCCCCGGAAGUGCAUUGGAAACUGGCGGACUCGAGUCCCGGAGAGGAGGGUGGAAUUCCUGGUGUAGCGGUGAAAUGCGUAGAUAUCGGAAGGAACAUCAGUGGCGAAAGCGACUUCCUGGACCAGUACCGACGUUCAGGCACGAAAGCGUGGGGAGCAAACAGGA